Molecule: ribosomal RNA, 253 nt
Filed under: uncultured bacterium
Lineage: Bacteria
Description: partial 16S ribosomal RNA
Rfam family: Bacterial small subunit ribosomal RNA
Source: RNAcentral
UACGUAGGGUGCAAGCGUUAAUCGGAAUUACUGGGCGUAAAGCGUGCGCAGGCGGUUUUGUAAGUCUGACGUGAAAUCCCCGGGCUCAACCUGGGAAUUGCGUGGGAGACUGCAAGGCUAGAAUCUGGCAGAGGGGGGUAGAAUUCCACGUGUAGCAGUGAAAUGCGUAGAGAUGUGGAGGAACACCGAUGGCGAAGGCAGCCCCCUGGGUCAAGAUUGACGCUCAUGCACGAAAGCGUGGGGAGCAAACAGG